AACGCGAAGAACCUUACCUGGGCUUGAACCGCACAGGACCAGCUUGAGAAAUCAGGCCUUCCCGCAAGGGACCUGUGUAGAGGUGCUGCAUGGCUGUCGUCAGCUCGUGCCGUGAGAUGUUGGGUUAAGUCCCGCAACGAGCGCAACCCUUAUCGUUAGUUGCCAGCGGGUUAUGCCGGGCACUCUAGCGAAACCGCCCCGGAUAACGGGGAGGAAGGUGGGGAUGACGUCAAGUCCUCAUGGCCUUUAUGUCCAGGGCUACACACGUGCUACAAUGGCCGGUACAAACCGUCGCAAACCCGCGAGGGGGAGCUAAUCGGAAAAAGCCGGCCUCAGUUCGGAUUGGAGUCUGCAACCCGACUCCAUGAAGCUGGAAUCGCUAGUAAUCGCAGAUCAGCACGCUGCGGUGAAUACGUUCCCGGGCCUUGUACACACCGGCUAC
RNAcentral lists this ribosomal RNA (442 nucleotides) under uncultured bacterium. RNAcentral's name for it is "bacterial SSU rRNA". It matches the Rfam family "Bacterial small subunit ribosomal RNA", at positions 958 to 1397 of the family's 1533-position model. The record is from RNAcentral.